RNAcentral lists this unclassified non-coding RNA (642 nucleotides) under Bradyrhizobium sp. ORS 110. Its description in RNAcentral is "partial 16S-23S ribosomal RNA intergenic spacer". The stretch from base 21 to 93 matches the Rfam family "tRNA". RNAcentral also lists the same sequence under 2 other names. The record is from RNAcentral. Lineage: Bacteria; Pseudomonadati; Pseudomonadota; Alphaproteobacteria; Hyphomicrobiales; Nitrobacteraceae.
AGCAUUCGUCUUCUGGUUACGGGGCCAUAGCUCAGCUGGGAGAGCGCGUGCUUUGCAAGCAUGAGGUCGUCGGUUCGAUCCCGUCUGGCUCCACCAGCCUUCGCUGGCUGAAGCCAGCUACGGCUAGGCGAGCCUGAUCAGAGCGAAGGCUGCCACGGCGAAGCUCGAAGAGCGAAGCCGGGCUGGCGCCGGGUAGAACCAAAUCGUCCGCGAAACAUCACUUCGCACUCACGAGUCCGGAUGGACAGUGACGUGCGUGUUUUCUGACAUCGUAAAGAGGAGAUCGAUCCGAGUUUGGAUCAAGCGAAGCAAUUCGCCUGACCCAUUCACUAUCUCCGGGAUCAUUUCGGCGCUCGCUUCAGUCGUGAGAUUGAAUGCGGGUUGUAAAUGAUCCUUUGUUAGCGAAGCUUGACCGCCUCGCUAUCGGGCCGAUCUUACGAAGCAAGCUGGUCUUUCUAGUCAAUGUCCGGCUGUGACAAUCGCAUUCAUCGAGGAUGCGCGCCUUCAAUGGCAGUUGCACAGACAACAUUCUGCCGAGUGUGUGGACAUUGAUAAUGAGAGCAAUCAAGUGCCUUAAGGGUGUUCGGUGGAUGCCUUGGCGCUGAGAGGCGAUGAAGGACGUGCUACGCUGCGAUAAGCCGU